Acanthosepion pharaonis is the source of this 91-nucleotide non-coding RNA. The record is from the annotation of a GenBank genome assembly. NCBI's taxonomy places the organism in Eukaryota, Metazoa, Mollusca, Cephalopoda, Sepiida, Sepiidae.
AUAUGACUUUGAAACACUGGUUCCUGUAUGAUCACCAAAGUUAAGCAAUGUUGAGCCUGAUCAGUACCUAGAUGGGUGACCAUUUGGGAAU